UGAUCAAGGAUGACGUGCCCUUAGCCUCAUAGCUCCAGGCUAGCUCCCGUAAUUAGUACUGCUCGGUUCUUCCCGGUUUAGCAAUGGCGACCUUCUACACCCGCUGUCAAUAGGAGCUCCCAAAGAUAAACAUCACUCGCGUUCAUAGGAUUUUCACAACGACUAAACACUCAACCGGCAAAUUGGAGAAAGGCUAUUCAUUACAUGCCAUGUGUAUUUUUGCAACUACCAAGCAAUCCGCCAGGCCGUCUCCAGAUCUCUUGUGGCACGCUACCAGAAAUGUUUACACAAGAGGCAUGGAAUGUUG
Molecule: long non-coding RNA, 307 nt
Organism: Anguilla anguilla (European eel)
Lineage: Eukaryota; Metazoa; Chordata; Actinopteri; Anguilliformes; Anguillidae
Exons: 3
Source: RefSeq, a predicted model, not a curated record